RNAcentral lists this unclassified non-coding RNA (354 nucleotides) under fungal sp. Its description in RNAcentral is "partial internal transcribed spacer region". The stretch from base 1 to 46 matches the Rfam family "Eukaryotic small subunit ribosomal RNA", at positions 1786 to 1831 of the family's 1831-position model. The record is from RNAcentral. Lineage: Eukaryota; Fungi.
AAGUCGUAACAAGGUUUCCGUAGGUGAACCUGCGGAAGGAUCAUUAACACUUAUUAUUAUCCAAUAUCAAAAAUAAAACCAAACGGUCACAUAUCUCAUCCCUAUUUCGCACACCGGAGACGGUACGAUUAGGCUAACAUUUUUUUAAAUCUUUUUUUAAACCCCAUAACAAUAUUUCUGCUUAUUAAUAUUAAUUUAUUAAUAUAUAAAGAAGAAGAAAUAAAACAACUCUUCGUUAUGCUCUAAAAAAGCACCAACGAACUAAACUAAAAUAUACAUUUGAUUAUAUUUUUAUUUUACGAAAUAAUAUAUAUUUAUUAAGAACAACUCUUAGCAAUGGAUAUCUUGGUUCUC